UUAACGAUUCUGUUCAUGUUAUAAACAUUGUCCUAGAAUUUCAAAUGUUUCCAUCCAAAAUUGAAAAAGUUAUAUCAUUUUUUCAAAUUAGAUUCCAGUUUGUGCUAAAAAUCAUGUCACACACCAAGCCUAUGAAAUAAUUUUCAAGUUUUAAAUUCAAAUAAUAAUAAACUAGGUACUGUUUUAUUGAUUCCAACAUUAUUUCAGUGGAAGCACAAAUGUCCCCCAUAAAGAAAUCAUUAAUCCGUCCCAGAAAUAUGGACUGUUUUAAUGUUAACAAUAAAGAUUGUCUAUAUCAAUAACUUUGAAAUUCCCGGGGUGAUUCAUGCUUGUGCGCUACUGUGCUUGAGCGACAGCCAUUAAAGAUGUCCUGUCUCCUUCAGUUUUCAGUAGUUGAAGGUGAAGUUGGUUCAUUGUUUGUUUAUCCUUUAUUUUAUCGCGUCAUCAAGUUGAUGAUGAUUUUUGAUUGCUGAAGGUCUUAAAUUAAGAUGAAGGUGGGAAUAGAACUGCAGAUACAUAUUAUACUAAAAUCCACCAUGACAGAUGAAUAUGAUGCCAAGGAUUAGAUUUGAAAAAAGUUCUUCUCCUCUCUACAUUUGAUGAAAGCCAUUUUCAGCAAAGGUGGGAAUAGAACUG
Nilaparvata lugens (brown planthopper) is the source of this 636-nucleotide long non-coding RNA. RefSeq lists it as uncharacterized. Lineage: Eukaryota; Metazoa; Arthropoda; Insecta; Hemiptera; Delphacidae. The record is from RefSeq and is a predicted model, not a curated record. The transcript has 3 exons.